AGAGUUUGAUCCUGGCUCAGAAUGAACGCUGGCGGCGUGCCUAACACAUGCAAGUCGAGCGAGAAAGCGACUUCGGUCGUGAGUACAGCGGCAGACGGGUGAGUAACACGUGGAUAACCUGCCUGGAAGCGGGGAACAACUUGGGGAAACUCGAGCUAAUACCGCAUACGUUCGCAUUGCGCAAGCGAUGCGAAGAAAGGUGGCCUCUUCUUGAAAGCUACCACUUCCAGAUGGGUCCGCGUCUGAUUAGCUAGUUGGUGGGGUAAAGGCCUACCAAGGCGACAAUCAGUAGCCGUCCUGAGAGGGAGAUCGGCCACACUGGAACUGAGACACGGUCCAGACUCCUACGGGAGGCAGCAGUGAGGAAUCUUGGACAAUGGGCGAAAGCCUGAUCCAGCAACGCCGCGUGGAGGAUGAAGGUCUUCGGAUUGUAAACUCCUGUCAGGUGGGACGAAGGGACUUUGGUUAAUACCCAAAGUUCUUGACGGUACCACCAGAGGAAGCCCCGGCUAACUCCGUGCCAGCAGCCGCGGUAAUACGGAGGGGGCGAGCGUUAUUCGGAAUCAUUGGGCGUAAAGGGCGCGUAGGCGGCCCGACAAGUCAGUGGUGAAAUCCCUCGGCUCAACCGAGGAACUGCCUCUGAAACUGUCAGGCUUGAGGCCGGGAGAGGGUAGUGGAAUUCCAGUGUAGGCGUGAAAU
Molecule: ribosomal RNA, 699 nt
Filed under: uncultured bacterium
Lineage: Bacteria
Description: bacterial SSU rRNA
Rfam family: Bacterial small subunit ribosomal RNA
Source: RNAcentral